AUGAACCUGAGCUGAAGUCAGAUGCUUAACCAACUGAAUCACCCAGGCGCCCCUAGUCUCAUUUUAAAAUGGAGCUACACUUAACAGUCGUUUAAAAAUGAAUAACACUCCGUUUCUUGACUCCCGUUGCCUCAUUUGUUACGCCUGAUGCUGUCCUACCCCAAAACGUGGAACCAGCACCUGAUGUCCUCCCCAGGGGGACCUCAGAUAUUCUAGAAGUAUACUCGGGAAAACCUCCAGUAAGUAAGGGAUUAAAAUCAAGAACGCAGCUGAAGCUGUAAAAUCACAAAAAGAGUUCAGCACUUGACGUAUAACAGGAAUAUCUGAUGAAUGGAAAUGGCCAAAGGAUGGGAAGCAAAAGAACUAGAAACCCCACCAGCUGACUAAUCAAACCUUGAAGAAUACAGUAUUGGGAGACUGCAAACCUCGUACUGUGCCCCAGUAUCCCCUCACUCCAGAAUAAUAGAAGGGCACCAGCGAGAGGAGGCAUCUAGGGAUGUGCCUUGGUGAAACCUCACAAAUCCUGUGGACCCCAGGGGUUGUCUUCAGAAGCAAAUACACUUGGUACCUAAGUCAAGGUGGAGAAGACAGGGAUGAGUGUCUCCAGUGACUGACUGACACAGAUCAACAAACAGGAUCAUCAUCAAGACUGUGUCCAGGUCACAUGAUUAGCAACUGGUGAGUAGGGAUCAAUCCCAUGUGCGUUUGCCUUUGUUGCCUGCCUUUUAUUCACUAGGCCUUAAGAACUUUUGAAUCGAAUAAUAAGAUAGGUAUUGAAUUGUAAUAAAUAAUUCCAUACAUGUCAUAAGAAAUGCAGGAAUAGAGUGAGGUAGGGGCAAGGAACGGGGAGUCACUAGUGCCAAAGGGCUCAGGCAAUGUUAUAUAGCAAAGUAAUUUUUUUAGCUUGUUUGAGCUAGGAUGAGUUUUGGAAGCAAUGAUUGGAAAGGAAGUUGUUCGGGGGAAGGAAAUCCUCUGCCAAGCCUGGCUUUAUAAAAGGUUUUGGCUUGUGCAAAGAAGGUUGAAAAGCUGGGCUGCCCAACCACAGCACAGAUCUGCCAGGGAACAGGUCCACCCUGGGAAGGCGGGCCGAGCCAGAAUGGGAAGGCAAUGCAGAGUCAUGCAAUUUUAUAAAUACAGAAAUACUCGUGAUCGGAUUUGUGUUCAGAAAGAACUAACAUAGGGGAGAAUGGAAAGUAGACCGGGAGAGGCAAACAUAGGGAAGGAAGACCCAAGAAGGGGAGUCCCUUUGCAGUGAUCCAGGAGAACCAUGAUAAGGCCACCGAGGGCAAGGUACAGAUUUUGCAGUUCCUUCUUGCAAUGGAAUUACCAGAAGUUGGUGGGUAAUGGUAUGUCUGGAGUGCAAAUGAAUGCAUUAUUUGAGAAUGUUUAGGUCUUUAUUUUGUGCAACAGGUGGAUUGGGAUGAUUGUUAACAGGACAGGAAAUCAGGGCAAAGCCUCCCUGUGGUGGCCAUCAGUAUUUAUAUGAGCUCCUGCAGGAGGAAUUGUAUGCAGGGAGAUGAAAGCUAGCCAAGAGGCAGUGGCCAGAAGAAGAGCAACAUUUAACAGCUUAAGUAUAAUGGAACUCUUGGCAUGUCUUCGCUCAGACUUUGAGCCAUUUUUUUUUCUUCAAAUAAAUGCCCUAAAUAUUCAAGAAAUGUAAGGUUUUAAUGGAAAGACCUCUGACGUAGUUAGCUUCUAGUGCCAAAUUUGCCACUAAUUAAUUAUGUGGCCUUUGGCAUGUCACUUAAUCUAACUUAGACUUGUCAUCCUCAUCCGUAAAACUAGAUCUCCAAGGUCUCUCCUUUUUGCUUUCAAAUGCAGUGAUUCUUACGGGUUUCUUUGAAUUAGAGGAUUUUAAUUGAAGCAUAUCAUAGGCUAUUGUGCCAGAUGCUUCCCAAAUAUUAGUGGUGGGAAGAAACAUUGUAAUGGUAAUUCUAACUUCGUGACUGCAGAACUUUCAGGCUUUUGCACCUCAAAGUCAUCAGUAAUUAGGCCUGGGCAUUUCUUUUUCUUUCUGCUUCUACUGAGAACAAAUUCUAUAGGCUAGAAAGAUGAUGCAACACACUGGGGAUCUGAGAAAAAUUAUCAGGACUAGGUGGAAAUUUUCCCCAAUCAUCACUGCAAUGUAUUAAUAUAAUGGUCAUCAUUAGUGGUGUUUGUGAGCAGAAGUGCUACAUCACGUAAAAAUGCCUUCUUUGUUUGAAAAGCCCAUGUUCCAGAUAGGAGAUAACAUUUGAACAUUGAAUUCUUACAACAACAGUGUAAAGCCUUACCACAAAACUGUAAUGUAGUGUUAUAUAUUGUAUGUAGAUAUCACUCUGUCUGUAAUAUCACUCAACAUAUUGACUCUGCAAUGAGGGAGAGAGAUGAUUAAUCCCACAGCUUUGCCCCUCGCGUUCCAAUUAUUGUACAUAAUAAAAAAAAAGUCCCACUAGCUUGGACUUAGUGCUCCUCAAAGAGAGACACUGUAGAUGAGUUUGUCUUGUCGCUCGUCAUACUAAAAUGACCCAUUUCUGAAAAGACGCCUCACUCCCUCAGAGCCCAGAAGAAUUCAAGCGAAGACUUUGCAAGGUGAAUUAACGGCACCAAGCAUAUAGACUUAUGCCAAGCUAGUAAACCAGAGAAAAUAAUUUCAGCCUUCAUCCAGAAAUUAAAUGGUUAUUGAUUGAUAAGGAAGAUACUGUAACCUUUCAGAUUAAAUUAAGAAAUGUUGCUGAACACAAUUAAAAUUUUUCUAAUGUAAUACUGUUUGCAGAGUGCAUUUUUGACUAAACUCCAUCUCUGAGGUUAAUUACCAUGUCUUGGGUCCAGGAAUAAUAGAUUAAGUGGAAAGUUGGCUUCAAAGUUAAAGAAUGGGAAGAAAUAAGAAGUACUCAGAAGUGAUUUAUGUCUUCCUGAUGAAUUUGAGGGAGGAGAGCCAAGUAACCACACCACGCUUCUUCUGUGUUAAAGGUUUGCGGCCAAGGGAGUGGUAUAAAAUUAAAAGGGUGUUCAUUCCAGGAGCAGCUCCACAUUUUGCUCAUAAUUUGGAACUAUCUCAUUCUUGCUAGUUAGGCUGAAGGUAAAACGUCUUAUUGAAUGUUCUGGAGACAUUCUAGGGCCUAUGAGCGGCCUUUAUUUCUAAGGAACUCACCACUCUUUAGGGAAGUCAAGAAACAGUUACAACCUCCAACCACAAAAUCUGUUUCAAAGUGACAAGAGCUGUGUGAUAUUUUAGAGAAGCUAAAAAGAGCUGAGGUUUUGUCUUGAAUAUGUUAUUAAUUGGCUGGUUUACACAAGCUAUCCAGCUUAACCCGCCCCUUCUUUCUCAUCUGUCAAAUGAAAGAGUUGGGUUAAGUGUUUUCUAAAGUUGCUCUAGUUCUAUAAUAUACGGAUAAUAAAUGUUUUGAAAUUAGAAAUAGUAAAAUGUAAAUAUGUACCUUUAAUUUCAGCUGUCGGGGUCGUGGCUCCCACCCUGCUCACCGGAACUAUUCUGGAUAGAGACUAUGCACUUUUAGGGAAUGUGAACAAAACUUCUGUUAUGUAAAGCAGGCCUCCAAAAAGAAAAACCCAAGAAAGGGCCCUUUAAAAGUGUAGCUCCCUGUACUAAAAAAAGACUAAAAGGCCUUCAUGACACAUUCAGUGAAGAGAUACCCUUAUAACUUUUACCCGUUAAUUGAUGCAUAAAAGGUUGUGAAGAUUAAUGUACAUCAAAAUCAAAACUAAAUUGAAUUUUUGACAUUUUUGAAAAUAAAAACCCCAAAGAAUACAUAGGUGCCUUUUGAUUUGUCACAGCUGGAAGACUCUGAAUCAUGAAGCGCUCUAGGAGAGGCCAUUAAAUAGCGUUAGAUGGUUUGUCAGUGUGGAGGAAAAGUAAUUGAAGAACCAAACUGUGUGUAUGGGCACUGCAUUUUAAAAUAUUUACCAAACAGAGAUAAAGUGAGUUUUUUUUUCUCC
This is a long non-coding RNA of Felis catus (domestic cat), 3936 nucleotides long. RefSeq lists it as uncharacterized. Lineage: Eukaryota; Metazoa; Chordata; Mammalia; Carnivora; Felidae. The record is from RefSeq and is a predicted model, not a curated record. The transcript is spliced from 5 exons.